Molecule: ribosomal RNA, 116 nt
Filed under: Granulicatella sp. zg-84
Lineage: Bacteria; Bacillati; Bacillota; Bacilli; Lactobacillales; Carnobacteriaceae
Also listed under: 3 other names
Source: RNAcentral
UGUGGUAAUGAUGGCAAGAAGGACACACCUGUCACCAUGUCGAACACAGAAGUUAAGCUUCUUAGCGCCGAGGGUAGUUGGGGCAUUGCCCCUGUGAGAGUAGGACGUUGCCACGC